RNAcentral lists this ribosomal RNA (981 nucleotides) under uncultured Bilophila sp. RNAcentral's name for it is "bacterial SSU rRNA". It matches the Rfam family "Bacterial small subunit ribosomal RNA", at positions 135 to 1089 of the family's 1533-position model. Lineage: Bacteria; Pseudomonadati; Thermodesulfobacteriota; Desulfovibrionia; Desulfovibrionales; Desulfovibrionaceae. The record is from RNAcentral.
AGAUGGGGAUNACGGCUGGAAACGGUCGCUAAUANCNAAUACGCUCCCGAUUNNUCGUNGGGGGGAAAGAUGGCCUCUGCUUGCAAGCUAUCGCUUAAGGAUGANUCCGCGUCCCNNNGCUAGNGGGCGGGGUAACGGCCCACCANGGCGACGAUGGGUAGCCGGUCUGAGAGGAUGACCGGCCACACUGGAACUGGAACACGGUCCAGACUCCUACGGGAGGCAGCAGUGGGGAAUAUUGCGCAAUGGGCGAAAGCCUGACGCAGCGACGCCGCGUGAGGGAUGAAGGUUCUCGGAUCGUAAACCUCUGUCAGGGGGGAAGAAACCCCCUCGUGUGAAUAAUGCGAGGGCUUGACGGUACCCCCAAAGGAAGCACCGGCUAACUCCGUGCCAGCAGCCGCGGUAAUACGGAGGGUGCAAGCGUUAAUCGGAAUCACUGGGCGUAAAGCGCACGUAGGCGGCUUGGUAAGUCAGGGGUGAAAUCCCACAGCCCAACUGUGGAACUGCCUUUGAUACUGCCAGGCUUGAGUACCGGAGAGGGUGGCGGAAUUCCAGGUGUAGGAGUGAAAUCCGUAGAUAUCUGGAGGAACACCGGUGGCGAAGGCGGCCACCUGGACGGUAACUGACGCUGAGGUGCGAAAGCGUGGGUAGCAAACAGGAUUAGAUACCCUGGUAGUCCACGCUGUAAACGAUGGGUGCUGGGUGCUGGGAUGUAUGUCUCGGUGCCGUAGCUAACGCGAUAAGCACCCCGCCUGGGGAGUACGGUCGCAAGGCUGAAACUCAAAGAAAUUGACGGGGGCCCGCACAAGCGGUGGAGUAUGUGGUUUAAUUCGAUGCAACGCGAAGAACCUUACCCAGGCUUGACAUCUAGGGAACCCUUCGGAAAUGAAGGGGUGCCCUUCGGGGAGCCCUAAGACAGGUGCUGCAUAAUCACUAGUGAAUUCGCGGCCGCCUGCAGGUCGACCAUAUGGGAGAGCUCCC